CGAACGCUGGCGGCGUGCUUAACACAUGCACGUCGAACGGAAAGGCCCUGCUUGCAGGGUACUCGAGUGGCGAACGGGUGAGUAACACGUGGGUGAUCUGCCCUGCACUUCGGGAUAAGCCUGGGAAACUGGGUCUAAUACCGGAUAGGAGCCAUUUUUAGUGUGAUGGUUGGAAAGUUUUUUCGGUGUAGGAUGAGCUCGCGGCCUAUCAGCUUGUUGGUGGGGUAAUGGCCUACCAAGGCGGCGACGGGUAGCCGGCCUGAGAGGGUGGACGGCCACAUUGGGACUGAGAUACGGCCCAGACUCCUACGGGAGGCAGCAGUGGGGAAUAUUGCACAAUGGGCGCAAGCCUGAUGCAGCGACGCCGCGUGGGGGAUGACGGCCUUCGGGUUGUAAACUCCUUUCGCUAGGGACGAAGCUUUUUGUGACGGUACCUAGAUAAGAAGCACCGGCUAACUACGUG
This 463-nucleotide ribosomal RNA is filed under the name uncultured bacterium. Its description in RNAcentral is "partial 16S ribosomal RNA". It matches the Rfam family "Bacterial small subunit ribosomal RNA", at positions 30 to 507 of the family's 1533-position model. The record is from RNAcentral.